This 253-nucleotide ribosomal RNA is filed under the name uncultured bacterium. RNAcentral's name for it is "partial 16S ribosomal RNA". It matches the Rfam family "Bacterial small subunit ribosomal RNA", at positions 524 to 776 of the family's 1533-position model. The record is from RNAcentral.
GACAGAGGGUGCAAACGUUGUUCGGAAUUACUGGGCGUAAAGCGCGUGUAGGCGGUUGGGCAAGUCGGAUGUGAAAGCCCAGGGCUCAACCCUGGAAGUGCAUUCGAUACUGCCUAGCUAGAGUCCCGGAGAGGAUGGUGGAACUCUCGGUGUAGAGGUGAAAUUCGUAGAUAUCGAGAAGAACACCGGUGGCGAAGGCGGCCAUCUGGACGGUGACUGACGCUGAGACGCGAAAGCGUGGGGAGCAAACAGG